RNAcentral lists this transfer RNA (64 nucleotides) under Alobaldia tobae. RNAcentral describes it as "tRNA-Gly". The record is from RNAcentral. Lineage: Eukaryota; Metazoa; Arthropoda; Insecta; Hemiptera; Cicadellidae.
UACUCAUUUAGUAUAAAAAGUAUAUUAAGCUUCCAACUUUAAGGUUAAAAAUAUUAAAUGAGUA